UUGUUCGAGUCGCUGCGGCGGAGAUGAUGAGGCCUAAAUAAUGCCCAGAGCUGCCGCAGCGGCAUGUGAAUUUUUUUUUCAGGGGAGUUUAGGAGGAGCAGACAGACCAGCGCUGCGAGGCGUGCUGGAGGAAUCAGAAGUGCGACUGCUGACAUAAGUAACGAUAAUGCGGGUGAAAAACCCGCACCCGGGAAGACCAAGGGUUCCUGUCCAACGUUAAUCGGGGCAGGGUGAGUCGACCCCUAAGGCGAGGCAGAAAUGCGUAGUCGAUGGGAAACAGGUUAAUAUUCCUGUACUGGUGAUAAUUGCGAUGGGGGGACGGAGAAGGCUAGGCUGGCCGGGCGACGGUUGUCCCGGUUUAAGGAUGUAGGUGGGCGAAUUAGGCAAAUCCGGUUCGCUAUACACUGAGGUCUGAUGACGAGUCACUACGGUGGCGAAGUAGCUCAUGCCCCGCUUCCAGGAAAAGCCUCUAAGCUCUAGAUUAUCAUUAAUCGUACCCCAAACCGACACAGGUGGUCAGGUAGAGAAUACUCAGGCGCUUGAGAGAACUCGGGUGAAGGAACUAGGCAAAAUGGUGCCGUAACUUCGGGAGAAGGCACGCUGGCAUUAGGUGAAGUGGUUUACCCAUGGAGCUGAAGCCAGUCGCAGAUACCAGCUGGCUGCAACUGUUUAUUAAAAACACAGCACUGUGCAAACACGAAAGUGGACGUAUACGGUGUGACGCCUGCCCGGUGCUGGAAGGUUAAUUGAUGGGGUUAUCCGUAAGGAGAAGCUCUUGAUCGAAGCCCCAGUAAACGGCGGCCGUAACUAUAACGGUCCUAAGGUAGCGAAAUUCCUUGUCGGGUAAGUUCCGACCUGCACGAAUGGCGUAAUGAUGGCCAGGCUGUCUCCACCCGAGACUCAGUGAAAUUGAACUCGCUGUGAAGAUGCAGUGUACCCGCGGCAAGACGGAAAGACCCCGUGAACCUUUACUAUAGCUUGACACUGAACAUUGAGCCUUGAUGUGUAGGAUAGGUGGGAGGCUUUGAAGUGUGGACGCCAGUCUGCAUGGAGCCAACCUUGAAAUACCACCCUUUAAUGUUUGAUGUUCUAACGUAGCCCCAUAAUCUGGGGUGCGGACAGUGUCUGGUGGGUAGUUUGACUGGGGCGGUCUCCUCCCAAAGCGUAACGGAGGAGCACGAAGGUUGGCUAAGCAUGGUCGGACAUCAUGCGGUUAGUGCAAAGGCAUAAGCCAGCUUGACUGCGAGAGUGACGGCUCGAGCAGGUACGAAAGUAGGUCUUAGUGAUCCGGUGGUUCUGAAUGGAAGGGCCAUCGCUCAACGGAUAAAAGGUACUCCGGGGAUAACAGGCUGAUACCGCCCAAGAGUUCAUAUCGACGGCGGUGUUUGGCACCUCGAUGUCGGCUCAUCACAUCCUGGGGCUGAAGUAGGUCCCAAGGGUAUGGCUGUUCGCCAUUUAAAGUGGUACGCGAGCUGGGUUUAGAACGUCGUGAGACAGUUCGGUCCCUAUCUGCCGUGGGCGUUGGAAGAUUGAAAGGGGCUGCUCCUAGUACGAGAGGACCGGAGUGGACGCACCGCUGGUGUUCGGGUUGUCAUGCCAAUGGCACUGCCCGGUAGCUAAGUGCGGAAGAGAUAACCGCUGAAAGCAUCUAAGCGGGAAACUUGCCUUGAGAUGAGUCUUCCCUGACUCUUUAAGGGUCCUAAAGGAACGUUUAAGACGAAGACGUUGAUAGGCUGGGUGUGUAAGCGUAGCGAUACGUUGAGCUAACCAGUACUAAUGAACCGUGAGGCUUAACCUG
This 1798-nucleotide ribosomal RNA is filed under the name Providencia stuartii ATCC 25827. Its description in RNAcentral is "bacterial LSU rRNA". It matches the Rfam family "Bacterial large subunit ribosomal RNA", at positions 1145 to 2925 of the family's 2925-position model. The record is from RNAcentral. Lineage: Bacteria; Pseudomonadati; Pseudomonadota; Gammaproteobacteria; Enterobacterales; Morganellaceae.